CAGAUUGUAAGGAAUCGUACCCCAAACCGACACAGGUGGUCGGGUAGAGAAUACCAAGGCGCUUGAGAGAACUCGGGUGAAGGAACUAGGCAAAAUGGUACCGUAACUUCGGGAGAAGGUACGCUCUCGACGGUGAAGUCCCUCGCGGAUGGAGCUAUUGAGAGUCGCAGAUACCAGGUGGCUGCAACUGUUUAUUAAAA
Molecule: ribosomal RNA, 200 nt
Filed under: Vibrio parahaemolyticus
Lineage: Bacteria; Pseudomonadati; Pseudomonadota; Gammaproteobacteria; Vibrionales; Vibrionaceae
Description: partial 23S ribosomal RNA
Rfam family: Bacterial large subunit ribosomal RNA
Source: RNAcentral